This 253-nucleotide ribosomal RNA is filed under the name uncultured bacterium. RNAcentral describes it as "partial 16S ribosomal RNA". It matches the Rfam family "Bacterial small subunit ribosomal RNA", at positions 524 to 776 of the family's 1533-position model. The record is from RNAcentral.
UACGAAGGGGGCGACCGGUGCCCGAUUUUACUGGGAGUAAGGCGCACGUAGGCGGCUUCGUAAGUCUGGUGUGAAAUCUCACGGCUCAACCGGGAGGCUGCACCAGAUACUGCGAAGCUCGAGGACGGGAGAGGGGAUCGGAAUUCCCGGUGUAGCGGUGAAAUGCAUUGAUAUCGGGAGAAACACCAGUGGCGAAGGCGGAUCUCUGGCCCGUUGCUGACGCUGAGGUGCGAAAGCUGGUGGAGCGAAAGGG